UGAUGCAAUCAUACCAGCACUAACGCACUAGAUCGCGUCAGAAUUCCAAAGUAAAGCGUGUUUCAGUUAGAGUGGUACUAGGAUCAAGGAUGGAUGACCCCCUGAAAAGUCCUCGUGUAACAUCUC
Nicotiana tabacum (common tobacco) is the source of this 126-nucleotide non-coding RNA. NCBI's taxonomy places the organism in Eukaryota, Viridiplantae, Streptophyta, Magnoliopsida, Solanales, Solanaceae. The record is from Rfam.